RNAcentral lists this long non-coding RNA (208 nucleotides) under Gossypium barbadense (sea-island cotton). RNAcentral describes it as "long non-coding RNA (GBAR_LNC012573)". Lineage: Eukaryota; Viridiplantae; Streptophyta; Magnoliopsida; Malvales; Malvaceae. The record is from RNAcentral.
GACACUAACGGAUACACGGAUCCAACCCACACUCCGGGAUAAGCACAUAGUACUUCAUCGGAACAAAUCCGGAACUUUAACAUUAUAGUACACAAAGUACUUCAUCGGAACAAAUUCGGAACUUUAACAGUAGUCGACACAUAGUGUCUCAUCGACUCAAUGUUGGAAUAUCCCAAUACUUCCAAUUCCUAUGACAUGUCAACUAUAU